Molecule: ribosomal RNA, 464 nt
Filed under: uncultured bacterium
Lineage: Bacteria
Description: partial 16S ribosomal RNA
Rfam family: Bacterial small subunit ribosomal RNA
Source: RNAcentral
GACGAACGCUGGCGGCGUGCUUAACACAUGCAAGUCGAACGGUAAGGCCUUUCGGGGUCAUACGAGUGGCGAACGGGUGAGUAACACGUGAGCAACCUGCCCUUGACUUCGGAAUACCAGCUGGAAACAGCCGCCAAUACCCGAUAUGACCCUGGUCCUCCUGGCCUGGGGUGGAAAGCUCCGGCGGGCCGGGGUGGGCUCGGGGCCUCUCCGCUUGUUGGGGCGGCAAUGGCCCACCAAGGCGUCGACGGGGAGCCGGCCGGCGGGGGCGACCGGCCACACUGGGACUGAGAGACGGCCCAGACGCCUGCGGGGGGCAGCAGGGGGGAAUAUUGCACAAUGGGCGCGAGCCGGAUGCAGCAACGCCGCGUGCGGGAGGACGGCCUUCGGGUUGUAAACCGCGUUCAGUAGGGACGAAGCCACAAGUGACGGUACCUACAGAAGAAGGACCGGCUAACUACGUG